Molecule: ribosomal RNA, 500 nt
Filed under: uncultured bacterium
Lineage: Bacteria
Description: partial 16S ribosomal RNA
Rfam family: Bacterial small subunit ribosomal RNA
Source: RNAcentral
AUUGAUCGCUGGCGGCAUGCUUUACACAUGCAAGUCGAACGGUAACAGGGUGCUUGCACCGCUGACGAGUGGCGAACGGGUGAGUAAUGCGUCGGAACGUGCCGAGUAGUGGGGGAUAACGCAGCGAAAGUUGUGCUAAUACCGCAUACGUACUGAGGUAGAAAGUGGGGGACCUUCGGGCCUCACGCUAUUCGAGCGGCCGACGUCUGAUUAGCUAGUAGGUGAGGUAAAGGCUCACCUAGGCGACGAUCAGUAGCGGGUCUGAGUGGAUGAUCCGACACACUGGGACUGAGACACGGCCCAGAAUCCUACGAGAGGCAGCAGUGGUGAAUUUUGGACAAUGGGCGAAAGCAUGUUCCAGCCAUGCCGCGUGUCUGAAGAAGGCCUUCGGGUUGUAAAUGACUUUUGUCAGGGAGGAAAUCCCUAGUGCUAAUAACACUGGGGGAUGACAGUACCUGAAGAAUAAGCCCCGGCUAACUACGUGCCAGCCGCCGCCGUAA